Molecule: long non-coding RNA, 1615 nt
Filed under: Equus caballus (horse)
Lineage: Eukaryota; Metazoa; Chordata; Mammalia; Perissodactyla; Equidae
Description: lncRNA (ENSECAG00000029590.3)
Source: RNAcentral
AGCUUUUCCCAGCCAAAGGAGAGAAGGGAAGGAUGAGCCCCCAACUUCCUCCUUCCUGGGUGUGGCUUCCUUCACAACCCAGACUCUUGGCAUCCUCUUGUUCACUCCCACCCACCCAGCUUGUUGUCAAACCUUUUCGCUAAUGAAGACAUAAAUAGCUCACAAUGCUUGACAGGAGGCUUCUCUUAGCAGUUCUGUGUUUUCACCUGGACCACACACUAAAACAAAGGACUAACCCAAGGUAUUUGAGGAGGACUGUGAGCUGGGGGAAGAGAGAUGGUUGGACGGUUGGAGCUUUGGAUGAGUUUGGGUUCCUCCAUAAGCCAACUGAUAGAUCAGACUGUUUGGGAAGCAAAGGGGAGAAGUGAGGAUGUUACUUGUCUUGGAAAGAGCCUGCACCAGCAGAGCAGAGGCCAAGCUGUACCUGACAAAUGUGCUAUAGUCUCAGCACUGGAUCUAGGACAGGGGAAAAUGGCUGCUCCGUUUUCGAGAUCCGUCUGGGCAGCUGACUUUGCAGAUGGGAUCUACUGGUUGCAUUUCUAAGCUUGAGAGAUCAUCUUCUCUUUACCUUGAAGGUGUUGGAACCAGUGUUUAAAUUGUGAAAGAUCAUUGCUUCAAGAUGCUGGGACGGCUCUGACAACGAAGAAGGAAAGGAAAUAUUGAUAGAAAAUACCCUCUGGAUUUUUCAGACAUCAUGGAAGAUUUUUUUUCUCCACAGAAGAAAAGAACACUGACAGCAAGAAAAAUAUCUGUGUGUUCUCUAACUCCGAAUGGAAGUUUCCUGGGAAACCUUUCCUGUGAAUGGAAUGUAUGAGGUUUGUCCCAUGACAGACAAAUAAAAAACACAAGAAACUACAACAGAAAACUUCUUCCCCUGAAAUAUUGCAGUCAGGAGCAGAUAACACCUAUCUUUUUUCAAGGACAUGUAGAGAUUCCAACCCUCUGGUGUUCAGUGACACUAAGAAUGUUAUUCCCUCAAUUUAACAGCAGAGCUUCUUUUCUUACUGAUAAAAAAAUUUAAAAAGGGUUUAAAUUACUUAAGUAAAAAGAACUAUGGUGGGGCCUUCUCAGUCAUAGAUAAGCAUCAGCUCUUGCUGAUCUGCUGUAUUGUCAGCAAAGUAAUGGCUCAGUUUGUGUAUUGUUCUCCUUGUGCCAAACAGAAGGGAGAGUAAACCUUAUCCACAGGCUCCUGUUACCAGCAGACACUGGCUUCCGUCAGAGGCGGGUUCUGGGGAAACAGUUUUCACAUUCACCAAUUAAAAGAAGGGAAAUAGCCAACAUUUGCACAACUUAUAGAUAUACCCCAUCCCAAUAAACCUUGAGUUUUUGUCUAUGCAUUGUUGUCUAAUUAAAAAAAAAAGAGCAAUGAGCGAGAGGGAGAAUACACAGGCUACUACUGAACUGUGUUGCUAACAGAAGAAAGUUGAGGGGUCGGGUGGGGACGGACAACCAGUGAUUAAAAUCAGGCUUUUAUUUGAAAUUCUGACUACUUUUCUGUAGCAGCUUCCAUGCUAACUUAUACAUUCUGUUCCUAAGCUGGGUGAAGCAUGUCUUUUUUUUUUUUUUAAAACAGCUUUAUUGAGAUAUAAUUUAUGUACUAUAAAAUUCACCUGUU